Molecule: long non-coding RNA, 314 nt
Organism: Zea mays
Lineage: Eukaryota; Viridiplantae; Streptophyta; Magnoliopsida; Poales; Poaceae
Exons: 3
Source: RefSeq, a predicted model, not a curated record
UGUAGUUGAUGGAUACUCUUAUCCACAUCUGACAUAGAGCAUGAAUGUAGCUGGAAGGCAUAUAACAUCUUAUCUUGUUGACCUACUCUCAAGGAAAGGGUAUGCCAUGAAUAAAUCUGCUGAUUUUGAGACUGUCAGAGAAAUAAAAGAGAAACUGUUCUAUAUAAGCUAGGACUUGAGACCACAAUCCAUGUGAAAAGUUACACUGUAAGUUGUCCUGCUUGCAUUUCUUCCCUGUUCCUUUUCUUACUGUAAGCUUAGUUUUUGUGAUCAGCUUCCAGAUGGAAGAGUUAUUAAAGUAGGCUCCUGAAGCU